Molecule: long non-coding RNA, 749 nt
Organism: Alosa sapidissima (American shad)
Lineage: Eukaryota; Metazoa; Chordata; Actinopteri; Clupeiformes; Clupeidae
Exons: 4
Source: RefSeq, a predicted model, not a curated record
UGCUGUUUUCACCAUUUUUGUUUGGGAUUUUGGGAAAGAUAAAAGCACAUUGUUGGCUCUUCCACCAAAGAACUGUCAGGAUUAGCCAUAAUCCAGCAAUGAGGAGAAAAACAUUGAUAUGUGUAGCAGAUAGCGGCUGCAGUCACCCAUCCUGUCUCUUUAGCUACAGCUUUAACACUUCAGAGGCCCAAAGUUCAAGGGCAAAUGGGGUGACCCUUCUCUCCUCUCACUAUAAAUGGUGUAAAAAGUGGGCUGGCUUGCUGUGGAGCCAUCCAAGGCAUGCCCAGUGUGAGCCUGUAGUAUGACCCACACCGGAGACCCCUACGUUAGGUUGACCCUUGUGUGCGUGACCCCAAAUAUGGAUGAGGCAUGGCUUUACAGGGUAGGGAAAGGCUGUCAGGGGGAUAUGUGAAGGAUACCUAUGUCUCUCUGUGUGUAUGGCAUGGAUUGGCACACUUUCUGAGGGGCAGGGCUCUGUGACUAUGUGGUCUCACUACAGUUGAAUAUGUCCUCUAACUGCAAUAUAACCCUAUGAAUUUGGAAAAUGAAAGUCAUCUAAAUGAAAUAAAGUCAUCUAAAUGAUGACAUUAUUUAAUAUAAACAUUGGUUUUGAUCAAAACAAUUACUUUAUGUCCUUACAGGAAGGCUAUUUAUUUUCCAAGGCGGACUACACUAUGACAAUAUUACCAUGACAUAAUCACUUUAUUGCCCAAAAUACAUUUUUGAUGAAUUUGUAUCAAAUAUUCUAG